AGUGCCCUACGGGACGCAGCAGUGGGGAAUAUUGCACAAUGGGGGGAACCCUGAUGCAGCUAUGCCGCGUGAAGGAUGAAGGUUUUCGGAUUGUAAACUUCUUUUGUACGGGACGAAGGAAGUGACGGUACCGUAAGAAUAAGCCACGGCUAACUACGUGCCAGCAGCCGCGGUAAUACGUAGGUGGCAAGCGUUAUCCGGAUUUACUGGGUGUAAAGGGCGAGUAGGCGGGAUUGCAAGUCAGAUGUGAAAACUAUGGGCUCAACCGAUAGAGUGCAUUUGAAACUGCAGUUCUUGAGGGAUGG
This 305-nucleotide ribosomal RNA is filed under the name uncultured bacterium. RNAcentral's name for it is "bacterial SSU rRNA". It matches the Rfam family "Bacterial small subunit ribosomal RNA", at positions 333 to 652 of the family's 1533-position model. The record is from RNAcentral.